RNAcentral lists this ribosomal RNA (253 nucleotides) under uncultured bacterium. RNAcentral describes it as "partial 16S ribosomal RNA". It matches the Rfam family "Bacterial small subunit ribosomal RNA", at positions 524 to 776 of the family's 1533-position model. The record is from RNAcentral.
UACAGGGGGUGCAAACGUUGCUCGGAAUCAUUGGGCGUAAAGCGCACGUAGGCGGUUCGUUAUGUCGGAUGUGAAAGCCCUUGGCUUAACCGAGGAAGUGCAUCCGAAACUGGUGAGCUAGAGUACUAAAGAGGAUCGCGGAAUUCCCGGUGUAGAGGUGAAAUUCGUAGAUAUCGGGAGGAACACCGGUGGCGAAGGCGGCGAUCUGGGUUGAUACUGACGCUGAGGUGCGAAAGCGUGGGGAGCAAACAGG